RNAcentral lists this ribosomal RNA (458 nucleotides) under uncultured bacterium. RNAcentral's name for it is "bacterial SSU rRNA". It matches the Rfam family "Bacterial small subunit ribosomal RNA", at positions 30 to 514 of the family's 1533-position model. The record is from RNAcentral.
CUAACGCUGGCGGCGUGCCUAACACAUGCAAGUCGUGCGGGGGAGCAAUCCCCAGCGGCAGACGGGUGAGUAACGCGUAAACAACGUGCCCUCUUGCUUGGGAUAGCUGGCCGAAAGGCCAGGUAAUACCGGAUGUGGUCCCUGGUAGGCAUCUAUCGGGGAAGAAAGCAGCAAUGCACAAGAGGAGCGGUUUGCGACCUAUCAGCUUGUUGGUGGGGUAAUGGCCUACCAAGGCUUCGACGGGUAGCCGGUCUGAGAGGAUGAUCGGCCACACUGGCACUGAGAUACGGGCCAGACUCCUACGGGAGGCAGCAGUGAGGAAUUUUGCGCAAUGGGCGAAAGCCUGACGCAGCGACGCCGCGUGAGGGAUGAAGGUCUUCGGAUCGUAAACCUCUGUCAGUGGGGAAGAGCAAGGACGGUACCCACUGAGGAAGCUACGGCUAACUACGUGCCAGCAG